UCUCGAAUCUUUCACAAUGGACGCAAGUCUGAUGGAGCAACGCCGCGUGGGGGAUGAAUGCCUUCGGGUUGUAAACCCCUGUCACCAAGGAUAAACCGUCGUCGGUUAAUACCCGGCGGCCUGAUGUAACUUGGAGAGGAAGGAGUGGCUAACUCUGUGCCAGCAGCCGCGGUAAUACAGAGACUCCAAGCGUUAUUCGGAUUUACUGGGCGUAAAGGGUGCGCAGGCGGCCAAGUGUGUCUAGGGUGAAAUCCUGCAGCUUAACUGUAGAACUGCCUUAGAAACUACUUGGCUAGAGUAUCGGAGAGGCAAGCGGAAUUCCAGGUGUAGCAGUGAAAUGCGUAGAUAUCUGGAGGAACACCAAUGGCGAAGGCAGCUUGCUGGACGAUUACUGACGCUCAUGCACGAAAGCGUGGGGAGCGAAAGGGAUUAGAUACCCCCGUAGUCC
RNAcentral lists this ribosomal RNA (448 nucleotides) under uncultured prokaryote. RNAcentral describes it as "bacterial SSU rRNA". It matches the Rfam family "Bacterial small subunit ribosomal RNA", at positions 355 to 796 of the family's 1533-position model. The record is from RNAcentral.